UACGAAGGGGGCUAGCGUUGUUCGGAAUUACUGGGCGUAAAGCGCACGUAGGCGGAUAUUUAAGUCGGGGGUGAAAUCCCGGGGCUCAACCCCGGAACUGCCUUCGAUACUGGGUAUCUUGAGUUCGGAAGAGGUGAGUGGAACUCCGAGUGUAGAGGUGAAAUUCGUAGAUAUUCGGAAGAACACCAGUGGCGAAGGCGGCUCACUGGUCCGGUACUGACGCUGAGGUGCGAAAGCGUGGGAGCAAACAGG
RNAcentral lists this ribosomal RNA (252 nucleotides) under uncultured bacterium. RNAcentral describes it as "partial 16S ribosomal RNA". It matches the Rfam family "Bacterial small subunit ribosomal RNA", at positions 524 to 776 of the family's 1533-position model. The record is from RNAcentral.